Molecule: ribosomal RNA, 751 nt
Filed under: Rhamnella franguloides
Lineage: Eukaryota; Viridiplantae; Streptophyta; Magnoliopsida; Rosales; Rhamnaceae
Description: eukaryotic LSU rRNA
Source: RNAcentral
ACUGAACCUUAUCAUUUAGAGGAAGGAGAAGUCGUAACAAGGUUUCCGUAGGUGAACCUGCGGAAGGAUCAUUGUUGAAACCUGCACAGCAGAACGACCCGCGAACCCGUAAAAUACAACCGGGGGGCGAGGGACCUAUCCGGACCCGGACCCCYCGGCGGGGRGGCGUGGCUCGGGCUUCGCUGGCCGAUGCCCGCCGCCGCUGCCUUCCCGCCGCACAAACGAAACCCCGGCGCAAACCGCGCCAAGGAACUCGAACGAAUCAGGCAUCGCCCCGGCGCCCCAGAGAUGGUGCGCGCUCGGGGUGCUGCGCCGUAUUCUGUAUGUCAAAACGACUCUCGGCAACGGAUAUCUCGGCUCUCGCAUCGAUGAAGAACGUAGCGAAAUGCGAUACUUGGUGUGAAUUGCAGAAUCCCGUGAACCAUCGAGUCUUUGAACGCAAGUUGCGCCCGAAGCCACUAGGCCGAGGGCACGUCUGCCUGGGCGUCACACAACGUUGCCCCCCCACCCAAAACCUCGUACUCGAGGGGGACGGGGGGGCGGAUGCUGGCCUCCCGUGCGCCCCGGCUCGCGGCUGGCCUAAAUGCGAGCACCCGGCGGCGAGCGCCGCGGCAAUCGGUGGUUUUCCAAACCUCGGUGCCAAGCCGCGCGCGCGAGCCGCCCAUGCGUGCCCGUCGACCCCCAACGCGCCGCACACGCGGCGUUCACAACGCGACCCCAGGUCAGGCGGGGCUACCCGCUGAGUUUAAGC